RNAcentral lists this long non-coding RNA (688 nucleotides) under Elaeis guineensis (African oil palm). RNAcentral describes it as "long non-coding RNA (EGUI_LNC002146)". The record is from RNAcentral. Lineage: Eukaryota; Viridiplantae; Streptophyta; Magnoliopsida; Arecales; Arecaceae.
UGCAAAAUCAGUAUAUUAAUAAGAAAAAUCUGGCUUCAUAAGUGCCAAACAGGAUGAUCCAUCUCCAAAUUCAGCGACACCCGAAGCUAGACUGGUAGAGUGCUGCUACUCAUAACAUAAACCAACAUUAUAUCAUCUUUGUUAAGGUGAAGACAGAAGUUACAGUCAAAGAGCAAUCGAGUUCCGCACGGCUGGAACAAGCUGUCAACAUGGUUGUGUUACCUGCUGCUGGCGGGGAAUACUCGUGGCUAUGCCAUCAAUGGUCCGGUUGGUGGGUAUCGAGUGCGCAAAAGCCACCCAUCGAAGCGAGAUCAUAUAGAGAGAGCAGGGAGAAGAAGAGAGACCCGCACAGCAUCUUGCUAUGGGGUGUCGUUCUUUGCUAUUGACAUUGCGGAGCUCGGUCCAAAUGAAUCGUUGUCAUAAGGCUCGUUUGAUGUGCAAGGUCCUAGAGUGAAAAGAGCAGACUAUUGGAUGCGAAGAAUCCUUUUUCUUCUUGAAGGUAAUACGUGAUCUUCUUUUUGAAGAUAACAGAGCAGGAUAAUUAAUGGCAUCAAACGCCGGAAUCCUUUAAUUUGAGAAAUUAAUCAAACUCAUCAUGACUCGCAAUUCCUAACGGAUACAAAGCCCCCAGACUAAAGUGAACGAGGAAUAAAGAUUUAACUGGAAUAUAUCAACCCGCGGAUUUUCU